Molecule: long non-coding RNA, 971 nt
Organism: Gymnogyps californianus (California condor)
Lineage: Eukaryota; Metazoa; Chordata; Aves; Accipitriformes; Cathartidae
Exons: 4
Source: RefSeq, a predicted model, not a curated record
GUGUAGUUAGAAGGCACACGCAAAAAGAAGACGGACCUUUUGUCUCGCCAAGCUAUCGGUCAGCAUCCGGGUGACUCGCUUUACACGGUUUGUUUGGGUUUUUCCGAUGCGGAGCGAUGAGCCGCGUGCCGAAGGACGACGGAAGAGGCGAGCAGAGCGCCGGGUGAAGGCGGGCCGGCGUCUGAUGUCGGAGGAUCGGCACAACUGUCGGCGGUUCUGACUGGCUUAUGCUUUUUCAGUUUAUGCUUUUCUAGAUGCAAAUCGAUGUAUGAAGCGGGAUAUCCGCACCGGAGCGGACUUUGGCAAGAUUUACAGAGGGCGGGCAGGGCUCGGCACAGAGGACCGAAGAAUCUGACUCUGAGCGGCCGAGGGGCCGUGCUCCUUUGCAGAGGGGCGAAGCUGCACAGCCACAAGCGGUUCGAGAAAAGGCGAGAGACUCGUUAAGCGGUCUGCUCCGGCUCAAAUUUCCGAGGAGCUCACGGUAACUCGGCCGAGCGUUUGUCUUUGGUUUUGCCGGUGCCGCGAAGGCUUUCCUCAAACGGCUGAGGAUUUGAGGCGAGUCGGCGGAGGAGAGAGGAGCGGCAGGGUGGGAACCGCAGAGCGGGUUAUCGCUUCCGAUUACGACGGGCGCUUUAUCUCUCCGGUUUUCUGGCUUCCACGGGAGAUGCUGGCCGCAACAACUGAUUUUUUGGGAGCGGCGUGGCACUUGCGGGGAGGGUGUCGUCGCGGUAGAGGUCGGCGCCGGCCGGCGUGUCGGUGACUGGCGGCGCUCUGUGUUGCGGGUGAUGAAGAGGAAUCCGGUGAAUGCGGGAGCAUCCCGGUUAGACGAUGUGCUCCUGAUGAGGAUGGAUUCUGGAUCCCGUCCUCUGAAAGGUCUCUAUGUUCUGGCCCACGGCCUCUGCACUCGUCACGCACCUCGGUAGGCGUCUGUAGGGUCUCUAAUGCCUUGUCGGUUUCGCAUAGGGCCUGUC